GCGGGAGCAGGCGUUCAGUACAGGCACCAGUCACCAGGAACCAACGGACUCAGCAGAACUUACCCCAAAUCGUCAAAGUGCAGCCGCAGCACGGCCCAGAUGGUCACACACACGGUGGGCGUCCCUGCAGGAGAGAAGCAGGUCAGAACCACAGGUCCGACCCACAGGUCAGAACCACCGCAGGUCAGAACCACCGCAGGUCAGAACCACCGCAGGUCAGACCCACCGCAGGUCAGAACCACCGUAUUUCAGACCCACCGUAUUUCAGAACCACUACAGGUCAGAAGAACCGCAGGUCAGAACCACCGCAGGUCAGACCCACUUC
Betta splendens (Siamese fighting fish) is the source of this 325-nucleotide long non-coding RNA. RefSeq lists it as uncharacterized. The record is from RefSeq and is a predicted model, not a curated record. Lineage: Eukaryota; Metazoa; Chordata; Actinopteri; Anabantiformes; Osphronemidae. The transcript is spliced from 3 exons.